RNAcentral lists this unclassified non-coding RNA (343 nucleotides) under soil metagenome. RNAcentral's name for it is "partial contains 5.8S ribosomal RNA, internal transcribed spacer 2, and large subunit ribosomal RNA". The stretch from base 1 to 120 matches the Rfam family "5.8S ribosomal RNA", at positions 35 to 154 of the family's 154-position model. The record is from RNAcentral.
GAUGAAGAACGCAGCGAAAUGCGAUAAGUAAUGUGAAUUGCAGAAUUCAGUGAAUCAUCGAAUCUUUGAACGCACAUUGCGCCCGCCAGCAUUCUGGCGGGCAUGCCUGUUCGAGCGUCAUUUCAACCCUCGACUUCCCUUUGGGGAAAUCGGCGUUGGGGACCGGCCGUAUACCGCCGGCCCCGAAAUGAAGUGGCGGCCCGUCCGCGGCGACCUCUGCGUAGUAAUCCAACUCGCACCGGAACCCCGACGUGGCCACGCCGUAAAACCCCCGACUUCUGAACGUUGACCUCGGAUCAGGUAGGAAUACCCGCUGAACCUAAGCAUAUCAAUAAGCGGAGGA